Molecule: ribosomal RNA, 253 nt
Filed under: uncultured bacterium
Lineage: Bacteria
Description: partial 16S ribosomal RNA
Rfam family: Bacterial small subunit ribosomal RNA
Source: RNAcentral
UACGUAGGGUGCAAGCGUUGUCCGGAUUUAUUGGGCGUAAAGAGCUCGUAGGCGGCUUGUCGCGUCGUUCGUGAAAACCCGGGGCUCAACUCCGGGCUUGCGGGCGAUACGGGCAGGCUAGAGUUCGGUAGGGGAGACUGGAAUUCCUGGUGUAGCGGUGAAAUGCGCAGAUAUCAGGAGGAACACCGGUGGCGAAGGCGGGUCUCUGGGCCGAUACUGACGCUGAGGAGCGAAAGCGUGGGGAGCGAACAGG